RNAcentral lists this unclassified non-coding RNA (452 nucleotides) under Felicia aethiopica. RNAcentral describes it as "partial external transcribed spacer". The record is from RNAcentral. Lineage: Eukaryota; Viridiplantae; Streptophyta; Magnoliopsida; Asterales; Asteraceae.
GAGUGGUGUUUGGUCUGUUACGGGUGGUUGGCUCCCUGCUUGAGCAGGCACGAUCAUGCGUACAUUCCUUUUCAAUUGUGUGACAAGGCUUUGUAUAGCCUUGAUUGCAUAUGCGGGUUUACUGUGUUGCAUACCUGAUCCAUGGCAUCGUCUUGAUCAAAUAGUCCAAUUUUUCAUCCGGCAUUCCACUUGUGUAGUGUUGGAUGAACUGUGUAGCAUCUUCUUUGAACCAUCCAUUCGAUUAUUAUUUUUCGUUUGUUUGGCACAUUGAGGGUGACUUGGUCUCUUGAAUAUGGAAGCCAAAGUGGGCAUGGGGUCGUAUGAUCUUUUUAUUGCCCUCGUUGAGCGUUCUCGCUUCUCUUAAACGAUUGCCUUUCACGUAUGGCAUGUCCCAGCGUGUUAGGUUAUGUCGAAGAGGAAUGCUACCUGGUUGAUCCUGCCAGUAGUCAUAU